This 1510-nucleotide long non-coding RNA is filed under the name Homo sapiens (human). RNAcentral describes it as "HSALNT0186528". The record is from RNAcentral. Lineage: Eukaryota; Metazoa; Chordata; Mammalia; Primates; Hominidae.
CCUAGAGUCUCAGGGAUUUUUUUCCUCCCAAUUUUUUCUCUAUCAACACGGUGUCUCAUGAAAAGGAAACAGUCACAAGCCACUGCUCCUUCUAGUAUCAGGUAUUAAUUUCAGUAAGACGACUUUAAUAAUUCAGAAAUAUCGACUCAAACAAAACAAUGUGUGUGGUGCUGCCUAAGAACCGACCUAGCGAUGCAUGGUCGUGGUCAUUACUUUGGGAAUUGAGUACGCUAGGGUUUGGGAAGACAAAACGCAGUGUGAGGCAUCAAUGAAAGCACAUCGCAGGGGGAGGGGAGAGGAAGGAAAGAUCAGAGAGGAUUAAUGACUGCAUUACUGGUGGGAGGGGAGGAGGUAGACGAGGACCCCGUGCAAGGGGAGUGGAAAGGUUCAUUUUGCAGUGACCGUGGACUGGGGAGUGGGAGGAGGGGCAACUAUCAGCAGGAAUCUCCCCCCGUGGAUGGGUCCGUCACUUACGCAGCGGCUUCUAGAAAGAGAAAAUGUGCCUCAGGUCCUCCUCGGUCAUCGUGGGACAGAGGCGAUUGUUGGGAACUGCUAGUCUGGAAAGCGGGGCUGCUUCUCCGGGAUGAGCCCGAGCCCUGCCAAGCCCCUCAAGGCAUUGAAGCUUUAGCUCACCUUAUCCGAAUGGUCAUUGGGCAUCUGGACUUGAGUUAACGACUGAAUUUUUCUGGGAAGCAAGGGACACGUUCUAAAAUAACCCCAGGAUCACUCUCCGAACUUGGCCUGAGUCUAGGCAAGCAGUGUUACUCGGUCGCCUUGAUCUUGGAGCUGCUGUGUACUGGGGACCUCAUACUAGUUGGGUUAACUAUAUUCCCAUUAGCAGUACGCGGGAUCGCAGUACUCGGGACAAGCUGAGUUCAGCUGCUAUGAGUAACACGAUCUGGAAAGACAGCGCUAGCAAGGAAUGAGGAGUGAUACAGUGACUGGAGGCUAAGAGAUAAUGUCUGCAAGUCACCUAAAACCAUUGCAGACACAGGGAGAUUGAUGGAUUUGGAGGACUUCUGGUUGUGAAGACUCUGACGAUUGCUAAAGAGUUAAGUGAAAUACUAGCGUGGUUUUUUUGUGUGUGUUUUUUGUUUGUUUGUUUGUUUGUUUGUUUAUAAAAACAGGCAGAAUGUAGCCCUAUUAAUUGUAAACUGGCAAGAUAAACCAGGAUGCCAGUAACCACUAGACGACAGAUUGUCAAGAAAUCCAGUAAUAACCAUCCACAAGAGUUUAAAGUACAGUGAGGCAAAAUCCUGAUGGCUUUAAAAGAAUAAAGCCUACUGUACCAAUUAGUAAACUUUUAUGAUAGUGUUAGACCAUUAGUGAUAAUGAGGAAACAUUGGAUUUAAUAUAUUUGAACUGUGGUAAGAUGUGAUUCUUUCUUUUUGUCAACACAUUAAAAGAGAUAAAAAGUUCCCCUUUUUGGCUGACUAUUUGAUAUCUAGGGUACAAAUGAACAUCCAGAUAAAGAGGUCCUGAACUUCUGCCAAUACUGUAGGUAUCUUUA